This 99-nucleotide microRNA precursor is filed under the name Cebus imitator (Panamanian white-faced capuchin). RNAcentral describes it as "miRNA (ENSCCAG00000019421.1)". The record is from RNAcentral. Lineage: Eukaryota; Metazoa; Chordata; Mammalia; Primates; Cebidae.
GAGGAGGAAGGAUUGCUUGAGCCCAGGAGGUUGAGGCUGCAGUGAGCCAUGAUCACACCACUGCACUCCAGCCUGAGUGACAGAGUGAGACCCUGUCUC